This is a long non-coding RNA of Triplophysa dalaica, 461 nucleotides long. RefSeq lists it as uncharacterized. The record is from RefSeq and is a predicted model, not a curated record. Lineage: Eukaryota; Metazoa; Chordata; Actinopteri; Cypriniformes; Nemacheilidae. The transcript has 3 exons.
GUAAAGCACAGUGAGACAGCAGCCACGAUCAGUGCUGUCCUUGUAUUAAGGGAUGCGUUUCCCUCUGGCGUGUUGUGUGUGGAUGCUUCUGUCUUCUAAUUUUGCUUUUGGCGAUGAGAUGCAUACAUCAGUAAAUGCCACUACAACUCUGUACUACCAUCAAGAAGAUUCUGCAAAUAUCAGCUGCAGUUAUUUACCAUCAAAUGAACUUGAUAUAUUCACAGUGAAACUUGAAAAAAAUAACAAAUCAUUGUGUUUAUACAUGCGUAUAAACAUGGAGUUAUGGAAAAAUCAAUCUUGUGAUUAUCAUAUCAGAUUUAUUUUGAUUCCAGAGACUUAUGAAAUAUUUUUUGAGCUAUCAAAUCUUCAAAUAACUGAUUCUGGCACAUAUACCUGUACUGGCAGGAGAUUGACGCCACCACCUGAAACGAUUCUGUGGGAAGAAAUAACAAAAGUCAAUG